Molecule: ribosomal RNA, 494 nt
Filed under: uncultured eukaryote
Lineage: Eukaryota
Description: bacterial SSU rRNA
Rfam family: Eukaryotic small subunit ribosomal RNA
Source: RNAcentral
UUAUUAAAGCUUUUGUACAGUGAAACUGCGAAUGGCUCAUUACAUCAGUUACAGUUCACUUGAGUGAGGAGGAGUACAUGGAAUAUCGAUAUAAUCCCUGGAGUAAUAAAAGGAACAAGACCCGACUUUUUGGAGGGUGGUACUUUUUAUAUAUGAGAACCAACACCGCUUUGGUGCGUGAUUGUGGCUGAGGCAUGAUAAAGGAUGUUAACGAAUCCGGUGCGUUUUGCGCCCAAGAAAACACUCAAGUUUCUGCCAUCUCUCCUUUCAAGAGUUGAGUAUAGUACACCACCGGGCUCAACGGGUAGAGGGAAAUUAGGGUUCGAUUCCGGAGAGGGAGCCUGAGAAACGGCUACCACUUCCAAGGAAGGCAGCAGGCGCGCAAAUUACCCAAUCUUGACACAAGGAGGUAGUGACAAUACAUACUAAUGCGGACUCGCAUGAUUUCUUUAAUUGUGAUGAGAACAAUUCGUACCUGCCAUCGAGAAGCCAUU